GGGCCCGCACAAGCGGAGGAACAUGUGGUUUAAUUCGAUGAUACGCGAGGAACCUUACCUGGGCUUGAAUGCAGGUUGACAGACUGGGAAACUAGUCCUUCUUCGGACAGCUUGCAAGGUGCUGCAUGGUUGUCGUCAGCUCGUGCCGUGAGGUGUAGGGUUAAGUCCCAUAACGAGCGCAACCCUUAUCGUUAGUUGCCAGCGGGUAAUGCCGGGGACUCUAACGAAACUGCCGGUGUAAACCGUGAGGAAGGUGGGGAUGACGUCAAAUCAGCACGGCCCUUAUGUCCAGGGCGACACACGUGUUACAAUGGCCGGUACAAAGGGCAGCUACCUGGUAACAGGAUGCUAAUCUCUAAAACCGGUCUCAGUUCGGAUCGAAGUCUGCAACUCGACUUCGUGAAGCUGGAUUCGCUAGUAAUCGCGCAUCAGCCAUGGCGCGGUGAAUACGUUCCCGGGCCUU
This 463-nucleotide ribosomal RNA is filed under the name uncultured bacterium. RNAcentral describes it as "bacterial SSU rRNA". It matches the Rfam family "Bacterial small subunit ribosomal RNA", at positions 917 to 1382 of the family's 1533-position model. The record is from RNAcentral.